GACGAACGCUGGCGGCGUGCUUAACACAUGCAAGUCGAACGGAAAGGCCCUGCUUUUGUGGGGUGCUCGAGUGGCGAACGGGUGAGUAACACGUGAGUAACCUGCCCUUGACUUUGGGAUAACUUCAGGAAACUGGGGCUAAUACCGGAUAGGAGCUCCUGCUGCAUGGUGGGGGUUGGAAAGUUUCGGCGGUUGGGGAUGGACUCGCGGCUUAUCAGCUUGUUGGUGGGGUAGUGGCUUACCAAGGCUUUGACGGGUAGCCGGCCUGAGCGGGUGACCGGCCACAUUGGGACUGAGAUACGGCCCAGACUCCUACGGGAGGCAGCAGUGGGGAAUAUUGCACAAUGGGCGGAAGCCUGAUGCAGCAACGCCGCGUGCGGGAUGACGGCCUUCGGGUUGUAAACCGCCUUCGCCUGUGACGAAGCGUGAGUGACGGUAAUGGGUAAAGAAGCACCGGCUAACUACGUG
Molecule: ribosomal RNA, 468 nt
Filed under: uncultured bacterium
Lineage: Bacteria
Description: partial 16S ribosomal RNA
Rfam family: Bacterial small subunit ribosomal RNA
Source: RNAcentral